This is an RNA transcript of Phyllostomus discolor (pale spear-nosed bat), 1579 nucleotides long. It is a transcript of the gene named pleckstrin homology domain containing J1, with no coding region annotated. NCBI's taxonomy places the organism in Eukaryota, Metazoa, Chordata, Mammalia, Chiroptera, Phyllostomidae. The transcript is spliced from 7 exons. The record is from RefSeq and is a predicted model, not a curated record.
CGCCUGGUCUUGUCUAUUUCAGUAACGGGCGCCAUCAGUCGUAGGGGCGCUUUGUUUGCACCCCAGGUCCAACUUAUUGCAUGUAAUGACUGUCAGUCUCGCCCGCUAUCCCGUAAGCGCCACGAACCCUUGCUCUACUAAGUUCCCGUGGCCCCUGGCCGGUGAUUGACAGGACGAGGGGUCGGAGACCGCGCAAGCGCAAUAGCUUCGGGAGCGCUUCCGGGAAAGCGCUGUGGAAAUUUUUUGGUGUAAGUGGGGACGGUGGCCGGGAGGUUGCUGUCCGCUCUCCGCGUUCUGGGCUUGGGGCACCAUGCGCUACAACGAGAAGGAACUGCAGGCGUUGUCCCGGCAGCCGGCCGACUUGGCGGCCGAGCUAGGCAUGCGGGGCCCCAAGAAGGGCAGCGUGGUGAAGCGCAGGCUGGUGAAGCUGGUGGUCAAUUUCCUGUUCUACUUCCGGACUGAUGAGGCCGAGCCUGUCGGAGCCCUGCUAUUGGAGCACUGCAGAGUCACCCACGAAGAGCCCACCGGCUUCUCCAUCAGCUUCAUCGAGGAUCCGGAGAGGAAGUAUCACUUUGAGUGCUGCAGCGAGGAGCAGUGUCAGGAGUGGAUGGGGGCUCUGCGUCGAGCCAGCUACGAGUUCAUGCGCAGGAGCGUCAUCUUCUACAGGAAUGAAAUCCAGAAGAUGACUGGCAAGGACCCCCUGGAACAGUUCGGCAUAUCGGAGGAAGCCCGGUUCCAGCUGAGUGGCUUGAAGGCAUGAGUCUAGGGUUGGGCCUGGGCUCCUCAGCUUGACUCACUGGGGCCUGAAGGAGCCCUUCUCACCCUCGCCAGGCCCUGGGUUUCCUGGCCAAACCUGGAUUUUUGGAGUGAGGUGUUUUGCCUUAAAGACUUCAAUAACCCAAGGCUUGUGAGGGCGGGCAGAGGCUGUGCCUUGGGACCUAUCAGACUAGUCCAGCACCUCUCAGUGCCACAUGCUGCUGCUAGAGGAUGAGUGUCUACUCCCAGGAGCUGUGCCUGGCUUCUGGGGCUCGUCCAUCUAGGGCCCGGUGGGUGCCUGAGGCCGGCGCAGCUCUCUCACCCUGUGCAGGCUGAAUGUAUGAAGCUCGAUAAAGCUGUGAAGGGCGCGGGAGCCGCGCCUCCUGGACUGCUGUGAAUUCUGCUGAGGGCCAGGACCCAGCCAACACCUCUGGACAGAGCUGGAAGUUUCUGCUCUCAAGCUGGCAUGCUUGUUCUGUUCAAAUAAAGGGACAACGCACAAACAUUGCUCAACCGAGAGACCCAGGACUCGUUGCAACUUCAGCGCUGGAGGAACCCAAGAACCUUUUGGCAACCUCUGGAAGCAUCCAAACAGCUCUCCUACCUUCCUGCAAAGCCAGCCUUUGCCCUCGAUCACCCGAGGUGCAUUUUUCUCUAAGCACCAUGGAGACUGCUCCAAUGUGAGGGCAGUUGUCACCCCAGUCAUGGGACUGAAGGGCCAUGGAGCAGCAGCAUGGACUGACCAGGGGGAUGCGGAGCGCUCUGGCCCUAGGCCAAUGCCACUUGUGUACACUUGAAUAAAUAAAAAGGUUUUCCCCCUCAA